Small nuclear RNA from Sciurus carolinensis (gray squirrel), 106 nucleotides. NCBI's taxonomy places the organism in Eukaryota, Metazoa, Chordata, Mammalia, Rodentia, Sciuridae. The record is from RefSeq and is a predicted model, not a curated record.
GGGUGCACAGCCCAUAUCCUAAAAUUGGAACAAUAUAGUGAAGAUCAGCAUGAUCUUCAUCCCAUGCAAGGAUGACAUGCAAACUUGUGAAGUGUUCCAUAAAGAA